RNAcentral lists this ribosomal RNA (253 nucleotides) under uncultured bacterium. RNAcentral describes it as "partial 16S ribosomal RNA". It matches the Rfam family "Bacterial small subunit ribosomal RNA", at positions 524 to 776 of the family's 1533-position model. The record is from RNAcentral.
UACGUAGAUGGCAAGCGUUGUCCGGAUUUAUUGGGCGUAAAGCGAGCGCAGGCGGUUCUUUAAGUCUGAUGUGAAAGCCCCCAGCUCAACUGGGGAAGGUCAUUGGAAACUGGGGAACUUGAGUGCAGAAGAGGAGAGUGGAAUUCCACGUGUAGCGGUGAAAUGCGUAGAUAUGUGGAGGAACACCAGUGGCGAAGGCGACUCUCUGGUCUGUAACUGACGCUGAGGCUCGAAAGCGUGGGGAGCAAACAGG